UUGUGUGUCGAAUUUCAUGAGCCGCGCGGAGCCGUCCCGGUUGGUGGCGGCCGCUUCUGUCGAUUCACUCCCUGACUCGUCGCGCGCUGCCGCUGCGAGGACUGGGUUCAAGCCACAGACCGAGGAUCCCAUCAGCUGACCUGGUGGGGGCAGGGAGCCAGGUCUGCCUCUAUGAAGAAGUCAGCCUCCUCACCCCCAGUCAGCGUGCGUUUCCUCAACAACAGCUGCAGCGACCCAGAUGGCUCUGGAGAUGAAGCAGGCCAACUGGAGCUGCAAAUGGGUAAGCCUGUUUCUG
Pollicipes pollicipes is the source of this 295-nucleotide long non-coding RNA. RefSeq lists it as uncharacterized. Lineage: Eukaryota; Metazoa; Arthropoda; Thecostraca; Pollicipedomorpha; Pollicipedidae. The record is from RefSeq and is a predicted model, not a curated record. The transcript has 3 exons.